RNAcentral lists this ribosomal RNA (1121 nucleotides) under uncultured bacterium. RNAcentral's name for it is "bacterial SSU rRNA". It matches the Rfam family "Bacterial small subunit ribosomal RNA", at positions 265 to 1387 of the family's 1533-position model. The record is from RNAcentral.
CCACCAAAGCGACGAUGGAUAGGGGUUCUGAGAGGAAGUUCCCCCACAUUGGAACUGGGACACGGUCCAAACUCNUACGGGAGGCAGCAGUGAGGAAUAUUGGUCAAUGGUCGGCAGACUGAACCAGCCAAGUCGCGUGAGGGAAGACGGCCCUACGGGUUGUAAACCUCUUUUGUCGGAGAGUAAAGUACGCUACGCGUAGCGUAUUGCAAGUAUCCGAAGAAAAAGCAUCGGCUAACUCCGUGCCAGCAGCCGCGGUAAUACGGAGGAUGCGAGCGUUAUCCGGAUUUAUUGGGUUUAAAGGGUGCGUAGGCGGCACGCCAAGUCAGCGGUGAAAUUUCCGGGCUCAACCCGGAGUGUGCCGUUGAAACUGGCGAGCUAGAGUACACAAGAGGCAGGCGGAAUGCGUGGUGUAGCGGUGAAAUGCAUAGAUAUCACGCAGAACCCCGAUUGCGAAGGCAGCCUGCUAGGGUGAAACAGACGCUGAGGCACGAAAGCGUGGGUAUCAAACAGGAUUAGAUACCCUGGUAGUCCACGCAGUAAACGAUGAAUACUAACUGUUUGCGAUACAAUGUAAGCGGUACAGCGAAAGCGUUAAGUAUUCCACCUGGGGAGUACGCCGGCAACGGUGAAACUCAAAGGAAUUGACGGGGGCCCGCACAAGCGGAGGAACAUGUGGUUUAAUUCGAUGAUACGCGAGGAACCUUACCCGGGCUCAAACGCAGGGGGAAUAUAUAUGAAAGUAUAUAGCUAGCAAUAGUCACCUGCGAGGUGCUGCAUGGUUGUCGUCAGCUCGUGCCGUGAGGUGUCGGCUUAAGUGCCAUAACGAGCGCAACCCCUAUGGACAGUUACUAACGGGUGAAGCCGAGGACUCUGUCGAGACUGCCGGCGCAAGCCGCGAGGAAGGUGGGGAUGACGUCAAAUCAGCACGGCCCUUACGUCCGGGGCGACACACGUGUUACAAUGGCAGGUACAGAAGGCAGCCAGUCAGCAAUGACGCGCGAAUCCCGAAAACCUGUCUCAGUUCGGAUUGGAGUCUGCAACCCGACUCCAUGAAGCUGGAUUCGCUAGUAAUCGCGCAUCAGCCAUGGCGCGGUGAAUAAGUUCCCGGGCCUUGCACU